Acromyrmex echinatior (Panamanian leafcutter ant) is the source of this 996-nucleotide long non-coding RNA. The record is from RefSeq and is a predicted model, not a curated record. Lineage: Eukaryota; Metazoa; Arthropoda; Insecta; Hymenoptera; Formicidae.
UCUCUACGUUUGAGAUAGACGGAUCAUUACCGACGAUGAACAAGAAUGUGUUUCGAAACGAUGACCAGUCUUCAAACGCGCCCGAAAAUGAUCGGAUUUUCUGACGCGGCAACGCGUCAUUUGAUGGAAAAAUCGUUUCCUGAUUCAUUCGGAGAAGCUGUAUUUGACUUCUCAGCUUUGAGCUUUAUCAAAUAAUCGUUCAACAGGCUAUGCUGCUGCACGCUUCCUUAUAACGUGCUCGUGCGGUCUUUCGAACUUCGUCCACAAUUGAUCGAGAAGCGCUAAGCGGGUUUCGACGGCGUGGAGAGUGAUGUUGGUUAUCCCCAUCUUCUUUAAAUUAGUCACUGAUCUGGCCAUGCGACCGUGGAUGUCAUUCUGAGUGGUCAAUAAGGUAUAACGCGCACUGAACGUGAUGGUACUCUCGAAUGAGCAAUAAAAUCGGCGAAGGCAAAUCCGACUCGAAGGAUCAGCAAUGUUCGAGAGCGAAUCAAAGCGAGAGCGACAGCGAGAAAAAUUUGAGCGAGAGAAGGCGAUUUGAACUACAGUUCGACUUACAUGAAUCCUUGAUCACGAAUCCUUGAUCGAACGCGGAGGUUUUCUGGCUGAGUAUAGGCGAUUAUACUUUUUUCAGAGUGUUCUUUAAUCGGAAAAAGCGAAGAAGCGUUUAUUUGGCCGAAAAAAGACGAAAAAGCUUGAAUCGCAGAUCGAUUUGGCCUUUUAUUUCGUUGGUAGAACAAAGGCUUUCUUUUUUAAUCGCUUAUGAGAUUCUAGAAAAUUAUAAAAAUUGAAGUGACCCUCAUGAUUCAGGUCGAAAUUGACAAUUCUCGACCGCGAUGGCCAAGCGGUACGCUAUUGUCAUGCGCGCCCGCCAAAUCAGGAAUCCUGAUUGGGGUGUCGGUGUGUUACGCAUUUCGCGUCAUGCGAGCACGCGUGCGCUGUGACUAAUCUGACUGUGAUUGUCGUUUUGGCGGUUAGAAUUUUGUACGUAUAAUAUGC